RNAcentral lists this ribosomal RNA (468 nucleotides) under uncultured bacterium. Its description in RNAcentral is "partial 16S ribosomal RNA". It matches the Rfam family "Bacterial small subunit ribosomal RNA", at positions 28 to 507 of the family's 1533-position model. The record is from RNAcentral.
GACGAACGCUGGCGGCGUGCUUAACACAUGCAAGUCGAACGGAAAGGCCCUGCUUUUGUGGGGUGCUCGAGUGGCGAACGGGUGAGUAACACGUGAGUAACCUGCCCUUGACUUUGGGAUAACUUCAGGAAACUGGGGCUAAUACCGGAUAGGAGCUCCUGCUGCAUGGUGGGGGUUGGAAAGUUUCGGCGGUUGGGGAUGGACUCGCGGCUUAUCCGCUUGUUGGUGGGGUAGUGGCUUACCAAGGCUUUGACGGGUAGCCGGCCUGAGAGGGUGACCGGCCACAUUGGGACUGAGAUACGGCCCAGACUCCUACGGGAGGCAGCAGUGGGGAAUAUUGCACAAUGGGCGGAAGCCUGAUGCAGCAACGCCGCGUGCGGGAUGACGGCCUUCGGGUUGUAAACCGCUGUCGCCUGUGACGAAGCGUGAGUGACGGUAAUGGGUAAAGAAGCACCGGCUAACUACGUG